GUGAACGCUGGCGGUAGGCCUAACACAUGCAAGUCGAACGGCAGCACAGUAAGAGCUUGCUCUUACGGGUGGCGAGUGGCGGGCGGGUGAGGAAUACAUCGGAAUCUACUUUUUCGUGGGGGAUAACGUAGGGAAACUUACGCUAAUACCGCAUACGACCUACGGGUGAAAGCAGGGGAUCUUCGGACCUUGCGCGAUUGAAUGAGCCGAUGUCGGAUUAGCUAGUUGGCGGGGUAAAGGCCCACCAAGGCGACGAUCCGUAGCUGGUCUGAGAGGAUGAUCAGCCACACUGGAACUGAGACACGGUCCAGACUCCUACGGGAGGCAGCAGUGGGGAAUAUUGAACAAUGGGCGCAAGCCUGAUCCAGCCAUACCGCGUGGGUGAAGAAGGCCUUCGGGUUGUAAAGCCCUUUUGUUGGGAAAGAAAAGCAGCAGGUUAAUACCCCGCUGUUCUGACGGUACCCAAAGAAUAAGCACCGGCUAACUUCGUG
Molecule: ribosomal RNA, 491 nt
Filed under: uncultured bacterium
Lineage: Bacteria
Description: partial 16S ribosomal RNA
Rfam family: Bacterial small subunit ribosomal RNA
Source: RNAcentral